RNAcentral lists this ribosomal RNA (378 nucleotides) under Bufo bufo (common toad). RNAcentral describes it as "partial 16S ribosomal RNA". It matches the Rfam family "Bacterial large subunit ribosomal RNA", at positions 1827 to 2395 of the family's 2925-position model. The record is from RNAcentral. Lineage: Eukaryota; Metazoa; Chordata; Amphibia; Anura; Bufonidae.
CGCCUCUUGAGUUUUCAUAAGAGGUCCAGCCUGCCCAGUGACCCUGUUCAACGGCCGCGGUAUCCUAACCGUGCGAAGGUAGCGUAAUCACUUGUUCUCUAAAUGUGGACUAGUAUGAAUGGCAUCACGAAGGUUACACUGUCUCCUUUUUCUAAUCAGUGAAACUAAUCUCCCCGUGAAGAAGCGGGGAUGAAGCUAUAAGACGAGAAGACCCUAUGGAGCUUAAAACAGUACAGCAUCUGCCCAUAACACAUAAAUUUCUGAAUGAAGACUCUACUGGACAGCAUGACUGCGAGUUUUUGGUUGGGGUGACCACGGAGCACAGUACAACCUCCAUGCUGAAAGAAAAUUUCUAAGCUAAGAUCUACAAACCUAAGC